ACAGUUACGCGCCGCACGGAUCAUGGCCGCAGCCGCUCUGGGGCAGCUCUCCUGCCCACAGGCUGGCUGUCGCACUGUGUUUGUCUCUCUCGUACUGUGGGUGUCCUAUCCCUCUGGGCAGAAGCAUGGCUGCAAGGCUGAGCAGUCUAGAUGUCGCCACCCAAAGGCAAUCCAGGGACCCACGCUCUGAUCACCCCGUAAUCCCUGGAGCCUCACACCAGCAAGACCACGCUGCAGGCCCAUCUCCCAGCAACUCACCUAGCGACAAGUGACCACGCCCAUUCACGUCCAUCUUCCAGAAUCAGUACCAACUCACCCAGCUCACAGGGCAGGCCAGGCCAGGCCACUCUGUCUCUCUCAACCUCACGCCCCAACGCCUCCCCACAGGGCUGGGGAAAGAGGCCUUGUGAGGUCAAAGGUCACCAGAGAGGGCCCAACCUGCUGGACACAGCCAGACCUGCUCUUCCUACUCCCCUCUGGGAGGACCCGCCUGAGCCUCAUGCAGUGAGGACUGCAGUGGCUCCCCAGGCCCCUGUAGCUGCCCCUCAGCCCCAGGGGCUGAAGGGAAU
RNAcentral lists this small RNA (569 nucleotides) under Pan troglodytes (chimpanzee). RNAcentral's name for it is "processed transcript". The record is from RNAcentral. Lineage: Eukaryota; Metazoa; Chordata; Mammalia; Primates; Hominidae.